RNAcentral lists this ribosomal RNA (1096 nucleotides) under uncultured bacterium. Its description in RNAcentral is "bacterial SSU rRNA". It matches the Rfam family "Bacterial small subunit ribosomal RNA", at positions 8 to 1067 of the family's 1533-position model. The record is from RNAcentral.
AGAGUUUGAUCCUGGCUUCAGAUUGAACGCUGGCGGCAGGCCUAACACAUGCAAGUCGAACGGUAACAGGAAGAAGCUUGCUUCUUUGCUGACGAGCGGCGGACGGGUGAGUAAUGUCUGGGAAACUGCCUGAUGGAGGGGGAUAACUACUGGAAACGGUAGCUAAUACCGCAUAACGUCGCAAGACCAAAGAGGGGGACCUUCGGGCCUCUUGCCAUCGGAUGUGCCCAGAUGGGAUUAGCUAGUAGGUGGGGUAACGGCUCACCUAGGCGACGAUCCCUAGCUGGUCUGAGAGGAUGACCAGCCACACUGGAACUGAGACACGGUCCAGACUCCUACGGGAGGCAGCAGUGGGGAAUAUUGCACAAUGGGCGCAAGCCUGAUGCAGCCAUGCCGCGUGUAUGAAGAAGGUUUUCGGGUUGUAAAGUACUUUCAGCGGGGAGGAAGGGAGUAAAGUUAAUACCUUUGCUCAUUGACGUUACCCGCAGAAGAAGCACCGGCUAACUCCGUGCCAGUCAGCCGGCGGUAAUACGGAGGGUGCAAGCGCUUAAUUCGGAAUUACUGGGCGUAAAGCGCACGCAAGCCGUUUGGUAAAGUCAGAUGUGAAAUCCCCGGGCUCAAACUGGAAACUGCAUCUGAUACUGGCAAGCUUGAGGUCUCGUAGAGGGGGGGUAGAACUCCCAGGUGUAGCGGUGAAAUGCCGUAGAGAUCUGGAGGAAUACCCGGUGGCGAAGGGCGGCCCCCCCUGGACGAAGACUGACGCUCAGGUGCGAAAGCGUGGGGAGCAAACAGGGAUUAGAUACCCUGGUAGUCCACGCCGUAAACGAUGUCGACUUGGGAGGUUGUGCCCUUGAGGCGUGGGCUUCCCGGAGCUAACGCGUUUAAGUCGACCGCCUGGGGAGUACGGCCCGCAAGGUUAAAACUCAAAUGAAUUGACGGGGGCCCGCACAGGCGGUGGAGCAUGUGGUUUAAUUUCGGAUGCAACGCGAAGAACCUUUACCUGGUCCUGGACAUCCAACGGAAGUUUUCCAGAGAUGAGAAUGUGCCUUCGGGAACCCGUGAGACACGUGCCUGCAUGGCUAGUCGGUUUCAGUCU